RNAcentral lists this ribosomal RNA (485 nucleotides) under uncultured bacterium. RNAcentral's name for it is "partial 16S ribosomal RNA". It matches the Rfam family "Bacterial small subunit ribosomal RNA", at positions 29 to 507 of the family's 1533-position model. The record is from RNAcentral.
AUUGAACGCUGGCGGCAUGCCUUACACAUGCAAGUCGAACGGCAGCACGGGGGUAACCCCUGGUGGCGAGUGGCGAACGGGUGAGGAAUAUAUCGGAACGUGUCCUGUAGCGGGGGAUAACCUAUCGAAAGAUGGACUAAUACCGCAUACGACCUACGGGUGAAAGCGGAGGACCGCAAGGCUUCGCACUAUAGGAGCGGCCGAUAUCGGAUUAGCUAGUUGGCGGGGUAACGGCCCACCAAGGCGACGAUCCGUAGCUGGUCUGAGAGGACGAUCAGCCACACUGGAACUGAGACACGGUCCAGACUCCUACGGGAGGCAGCAGUGGGGAAUUUUGGACAAUGGGCGCAAGCCUGAUCCAGCCAUGCCGCGUGAGUGAAGAAGGCCUUCGGGUUGUAAAGCUCUUUCGGCGGGGACGAAACGGUUCGUGCUAAUACCACGGACUACUGACGGUACCCGCAGAAGAAGCACCGGCUAACUACGUG